This 72-nucleotide transfer RNA is filed under the name Entomophthora muscae. RNAcentral describes it as "tRNA-Glu". It matches the Rfam family "tRNA". Rfam says of the family: Transfer RNA (tRNA) molecules are approximately 80 nucleotides in length. Their secondary structure includes four short double-helical elements and three loops (D, anti-codon, and T loops). Further hydrogen bonds mediate the characteristic L-shaped molecular structure. tRNAs have two regions of fundamental functional importance: the anti-codon, which is responsible for specific mRNA codon recognition, and the 3' end, to which the tRNAs corresponding amino acid is attached (by aminoacyl-tRNA synthetases). tRNAs cope with the degeneracy of the genetic code in two manners: having more than one tRNA (with a specific anti-codon) for a particular amino acid; and 'wobble' base-pairing, i.e. permitting non-standard base-pairing at the 3rd anti-codon position. Lineage: Eukaryota; Fungi; Entomophthoromycota; Entomophthoromycetes; Entomophthorales; Entomophthoraceae. The record is from RNAcentral.
UUCCCUAUGGUCCAGUGGCUGGGAUUCCACGCUCUCACCGUGGCGGCCAGGGUUCGAUUCCCUGUGGGGAAG